AACGAACGCUGGCGGCAGGCCUAACACAUGCAAGUCGAGCGGACCCUUCGGGGUUAGCGGCGGACGGGUGAGUAACGCGUGGGAAUAUGCCCUUCUCUACGGAAUAGUCCUGGGAAACUGGGGGUAAUACCGUAUACGCCCUUUGGGGGAAAGAUUUAUCGGGGAAGGAUUAGCCCGCGUUGGAUUAGGUAGUUGGUGGGGUAAUGGCCUACCAAGCCGACGAUCCAUAGCUGGUUUGAGAGGAUGAUCAGCCACACUGGGACUGAGACACGGCCCAGACUCCUACGGGAGGCAGCAGUGGGGAAUCUUAGACAAUGGGGGCAACCCUGAUCUAGCCAUGCCACGUGAGUGAUGAAGGCCUUAGGGUUGUAAAGCUCUUUCAGCUGGGAAGAUAAUGACGGUACCAGCAGAAGAAGCCCCGGCUAACUCCGUG
This 433-nucleotide ribosomal RNA is filed under the name uncultured bacterium. RNAcentral's name for it is "partial 16S ribosomal RNA". It matches the Rfam family "Bacterial small subunit ribosomal RNA", at positions 29 to 507 of the family's 1533-position model. The record is from RNAcentral.